RNAcentral lists this ribosomal RNA (253 nucleotides) under uncultured bacterium. Its description in RNAcentral is "partial 16S ribosomal RNA". It matches the Rfam family "Bacterial small subunit ribosomal RNA", at positions 524 to 776 of the family's 1533-position model. The record is from RNAcentral.
UACGGAGGGCGCAAGCGUUGUUCGGCAUCACUGGGCGUAAAGCGCGUGUCGGCGGCUUAGCAAGUCGGAUGUGAAAUCCCGAGGCUCAACCUCGGAACUGCACUCGAAACUGCUUGGCUUGAGUCCCGGAGAGGGUGGCGGAAUUCCCGGUGUAGGGGUGAAAUCCGUAGAUAUCGGGAGGAAUUCCGGUGGCGAAGGCGGCUAUCUGGCCGAAUAUUGACGCUGAGAUACGAAAGCGUGGGGAUCAAACAGG